RNAcentral lists this ribosomal RNA (426 nucleotides) under Triticum aestivum (bread wheat). RNAcentral's name for it is "partial small subunit ribosomal RNA". The record is from RNAcentral. Lineage: Eukaryota; Viridiplantae; Streptophyta; Magnoliopsida; Poales; Poaceae.
AUGGAGCAGCUAAGAAAUGCAAAGGCAUUGCUUGAACCGGUAGCCGUUGUACGUGAUGGCAUGGGAUUAUCCGACAGAGAAAUGGCAGGUGAUUCUACAGUCUCGUCUAUAGCGCACAAACAACAUUUUGGUCCAGUGAAUCAGGUGCAGAGUGACUCGCAAUGUUUAGACAGCUUUGGGGCACCAUCCAAGAAGAGACCAGCGGGGCGGCCUACAACAAGCCGCGACAAAGCGCUAUAUGAACAACCGGCUAAAAGGAGCCGUUUUUGUUCAAUCUGCCAUGGUCAAGGGCACAAGAGCACAACAUGUCCGCAGCGCGGUGAUCUUCCGAAGGCGCCAAGGAAGUCGCCUCGCUGCUUCAGGUGGAGUCUGACAGGACACAGGAGGAACACUUGCACCAACACGCCUAGGGCGGAUUUCUACUAG